CAACAACAACAACAACAACAACAAACACUCGAAAAAACGCAUCGCGACUAUUUUACGCUCCGUAAAUUUCAGCAGCCCGUUUGAGGGUCAAAACGGCUGAAUUUGGGGCCGAAAAAUCGUGACGCCCUUUAACCGCCCUUGAUGGUUUCUGGGCCUUUCCGAAAUGGUGCUGUGAGCGGCGUAGUUCCUCACGGUUCAAAAGUUAUGGGUUUUCAAGUUAUGGGUUUUCCAAAGCUAGAAUCGUUUUAGAUCCAAAAACAAAAUAAAAAA
This 270-nucleotide long non-coding RNA is filed under the name Brassica rapa (field mustard). Its description in RNAcentral is "long non-coding RNA (BRAP_LNC008339)". Lineage: Eukaryota; Viridiplantae; Streptophyta; Magnoliopsida; Brassicales; Brassicaceae. The record is from RNAcentral.